AUGGAUGUCCUAUCAAUGGUGCUGGAUUCUGUCAAGAUCUUAUAUAUCCAAAUGAAUAGUUUUGAUCUGAACAAGAUUAUUGGCUUGCUGCAAUGCUUUCCAUGUCUGGAGAAGUUGUAUAUAAAGGCAACAGGAUGGGGUAAGAAAAUUAUAACCAAUUGGUGGAUUCAUAAGCAUCGGGAUUUUCUCACUUCUCAUGAGAUUCGAUUGAAGACAAUAAUGCUAGAACGAUAUGUAGCCAACCGUGCAAACACAAGAUUUGUCACAUUCAUCCUGCUGAAUGCGAGGUUACUAUUGUCCAUCAGGCUUAAGUUUAUCAGCAGCAUGGUUUUGACGGAUGGGUAUGUCGAAGAGCAAAAAAAGGAGUUUCAGGUGGGCAAAAGAGCUUCUAAACGUGUCGGGCUUCUAUUUACAACAUAUUGUGGUCAUAAUCCAGUAAAUUUUACGACCCAGGAUGUUCAUUCUAUGGACCUGACCGAUCCAUUUGACUGUGACUGCCGAAAACAGUGCUGGAGUUAG
RNAcentral lists this ribosomal RNA (519 nucleotides) under Triticum aestivum (bread wheat). RNAcentral describes it as "partial small subunit ribosomal RNA". Lineage: Eukaryota; Viridiplantae; Streptophyta; Magnoliopsida; Poales; Poaceae. The record is from RNAcentral.